UCAAUUCAGUUCAGUAAACACUGCCGCUAUCAUGAAGCACCACCACCGGCGAGUCGUAUCCGCCACUUCCAGCGCGGUUUAUUUGCUGAGUCGCCAUUACGCCACCAAAUACACGGCCAAGGUGACCUCAACAUCUCCUACCGGUCGCACCCUUUCUGUCGAGGUCACCCCUCCCUCUCCCCUUCCUUUCGAUAAUCGCGGAUACCCUCUCCCCCGUCGCCACCUCAUCUGCAAAGCCUCUAACAUCAUCCUCCACAACCAAUCCCUUCCCUCCGCCGCGUUGUCGCUUGAUGACCGAUUCCAGGACCUCUCCGAUUACCUCUCUACCCUCUCCCUCUCCCUCACUCCAGAUGAAGCGUCCGAAAUACUCAAAUCCCUGAAAUGUCCUCGCCUGGCGCUCAAAUUCUUCAAAUUUUGUCCCUCCCUUUCCCCGAAUUUCCGCCAUACCCCUUUCACGUACAACCGUCUUCUACUAAUCUUCUCCAAGUCCACGCUACCUUCUCGGUUCGAUCUUGUCCGUUCGCUCACGGACGAGAUGCUCAAGUCCGAUGUGCGCGGCAAUAUAUCCACCGUGCAUCUCUUGAUUGGGAUUUUUGGAGACAGCGAGGAUUUGGAGAGGUGUCUCGAGUUGGUCAAGAGGUGGGACCUGAGAAUGAACUGCUACACUUACAAGUGCUUAAUUCAAGCUUUUCUGCGUUCGCGGGAUUCACAGAAGGCUUUGAAUGCGUACAUGGAGAUGAGGAAGAAAGGUUACAAGUUGGACAUUUUCGCAUAUAAUAUGCUUUUGGAUGCUUUGGCCAAGGACGAGAAGGUUGAACAGGCUUAUAAGGUUUUUGAAGACAUGAAACGAAAGCAUUGUGAGCCUGAUGAGUAUACAUACACAAUUAUGAUCAGAAUGACUGGGAAGACUGGUAAACCUGGUGAAUCACUUGCACUGUUUGAGGAAAUGAUAUCUAAGGGCUAUUCUCCUAAUGCAAUUGCUUAUAAUACCAUGAUCCAAGUGCUCGCUAAUGCCCGCAUGGUUGAUAAAGCAAUGUUUCUCUUCUCCAAAAUGGUGGAGAAAGAUUGUCGACCCAAUGAAUUUACAUAUAGUGUCAUCCUCAAUGUUUUAGUUGCACAAGGGAAACUUCAUAAGCUCGACGAGGUUGUGGAAAUAUCAAAGAAAUACAUGAAUAAGUCGAUAUAUGGGUAUCUUGUGAGGACAUUAAGUAAAUUGGGUCAUGCGAGUGAAGCACACCGGUUGUUUUGCAACAUGUGGAAACUCCAUGAUAAUGGGGAUAGAGAUGCAUAUAUGUCUAUGUUAGAGAGUCUAUGCGAUGCGGGUAAAACAGUAGAGGCUAUGGACCUGCUUAGUAAGAUUCAAGAAAAAGAAAUAACUGCUGAUAUUAUGAUGUAUAAUGUGGUAUUCUCUGCCCUAGGUAAGUUGAAGCAAGUAUCUCAUAUUCAUGAUCUUUAUCAGAAAAUGAAACAAGAUGGCCCUUCCCCUGACAUAUUCACUUACAAUAUUCUGAUCUCAAGCUUCGGUAGGGCUGGAAACGUUGAUGAGGCUAUUAAAAUUUUUGAAGAACUUGAGAAUAGUGGAUGUAAUCCUGAUAUUAUCUCUUACAAUUCUUUGAUCAAUUGCCUAGGAAAGAAUGGUAAUCUUGAUGAAGCUCACAUGAGGUUUAGGGAGAUGCAGGAAAAAGGAUUGACUCCUGAUGUUAUCACCUAUAGCACACUUAUUGAGUGCUUUGGGAAGACAGAAAAACUUGAGAUGGCUUGCAGGUUGUUUGAUGAGAUGCUUUCUGAAGGUUGCUUUCCUAACCUUGUAACAUACAACAUUCUCCUUGACUGUCUUGAGAGGAGUGGGAGAACAGCUGAAGCUGUAGAUUUGUAUUCUAAACUUAAACAACAGGGAUUAACACCUGAUUCAAUCACAUAUACUGUCCUUGAGCGAUUGCAAAGUGGUUCACAUAAAAAGGUUAGAAUACGAAGGCAGAAUCCAAUAACAGGUUGGGUUGUCAGUCCGUUAAGGUGAUAAGUUUUAUUACAUUGCUUAAAAGGAUAUGCUGAUUGAUAUAAAUUUCUUCAUAUUGGUUAAUUGUUCGAAACUGUCUUUUUCUAUGACCACUUAAAGAGAUCUUGUUCUGUUGUCUGUUGACAAUGGAAAGACACUUCUUCUGUUUAGACUAUUGGCACUAUCAUCUCAUAAUUUUUCACAAAGUUGUUGCAUAUCAAAUGGAUUUUGGGACCAUAGGAAAGAUUUAUACUGCUUUCCAACCUGCUCUUUUUCUUGAAGACAUUGUCAGCUGGGGCCUUUUUGUAGUCAAGAUGUCAAGCUUCUGAAACGAAACGAUACUUGGAUCCUAAAUUUAAUACCACGCUUUGAUGUGGGGCAUUGAUUAUUAUGGCACCGAUACACUCUGUGUGCCACUGUUAAGAACCAGGCCUUAUCAGCCACAUUGGCAACAGAAUGGGCAUGUUAGCUUGUAUUCUUCUCUUCUACAGAAUGCAUGCUCAAAUUGGCUCUAAAAUAGCUGGUGCACUAACAAGUUGACAUGGAGUUGGUCCAUGGCAUUUUGAGCAAGGUUGGAUAAAUUUGAGAUCAUAAGGAAAAGGUUCGGAAGCUCUCCUUGCAAGUUCAGGUUAAUUAUUAUGGAAGGAAAAAAUUAUAAGAAUUUUCUUGUCACUUCAAAAAUGCUUUCUUGGCACUCCCCCUACAAGGAAGGACUAGCUCUGAUUCCAUAGGCGACAUGUCGGAGAAUUUGGAUGGAGAGAACCAAAAGAUACCUUGGUGACAUUAAGACAUUUGGUGAAAAUUAUUGAUAGUUGCUUUAAUAUUGUUAUUGUUUGGAUUUUGGGCAAAUAAGUUUUUAUAUAUACAAGAGCCUGUGCAUCUCUAUUAUCUGUUGCUGGAACUACAAGAGCCUCUUUCGUAUCUGCAACUACAACAGUGGAUAUGCUCCUCCAACGACUGAUUCGCUUUCCCAGUGGGGAAACAUGAAACUAUCUGCCUGUCUACAAGUCUUAUAUGAGAUUAUUAGAUGCACUUACUAAGGGCAGCUCAAUAUUUUGGACAUGAAGGCUGCGGUUGUAGGCGUGCAUGUAUCUAUUUCAUGCCCAGUGUGUACUGAGUGGUUCAUGGAUUUAUAAGGGUGAGUUGGCAAUUCAUCUAUAAGGCUGGUCUUUUAUGUUGUGUAACCCAAGCUGCUGACAGCCCAACAGCUGGACAGCUGAUGAUGGUGCGCUAGAAAAAAAGCUUAAUUAUCAAUUUAAACCAUGGCGACUAUGUAAUUAAUCAUUAGAAUUAUUUACUUAAAUGUAAAAAGUGCUUCUUAUGUGA
Molecule: RNA transcript, 3322 nt
Organism: Tripterygium wilfordii
Lineage: Eukaryota; Viridiplantae; Streptophyta; Magnoliopsida; Celastrales; Celastraceae
Gene name: pentatricopeptide repeat-containing protein At1g51965, mitochondrial
Exons: 3
Source: RefSeq, a predicted model, not a curated record